RNAcentral lists this long non-coding RNA (2672 nucleotides) under Anser cygnoides (Swan goose). Its description in RNAcentral is "lncRNA (ENSACDG00005014146.1)". The record is from RNAcentral. Lineage: Eukaryota; Metazoa; Chordata; Aves; Anseriformes; Anatidae.
GGCACGGCCCUGCCCCGUCCCCUUGGGGUCUGUCCCCAUGUCCCAACGUUACCCAAAAAGUCCCUGCGCCUCUGUGCCACGUCAGGGCUGUCACCGGGGCUCCGUGAACCUGGCCGGGGGACAGCAGGGACAGGAGCCGUGGCACAGCCCUGCCCGCACCCCGGUGCCGCCGGGCGCACUCACCAUCGGGGCCGGGCGGCAGCAGCGGCCCCAGCGCCUCCAGCUCUGCCCGUGCCACCCGCAGCUCCGCCUGGUCCCGUGCGCCUGGGGAGGGCAGGGGGGGGGUCAGGGCAGCCCCAGCCUCCUGCCUGCCCCCCACGGGGUGAGGGUCCCCAGCCCGGCCGCGCUUACGCAGGGUGGCGACGGCCGUCAGGGCGGCCCCCAGGGCCAGGAGGGCCGCCAAGCCCACGGCCAGCAGAGUGCCCUGCACCCGGCGGGACGGGGACGGCCGGGACCCGAAAUCCAGCACUGCGGAGAGACGGCAGAGGGGUCCUCAGCCGGCGCUGAUCCGGACCCCCCAGGACCCAGCACCCCCGGGCCCCCAGCCCCACGGAGAGGAGCCCCGGGGGUGGAGGGGGAGCCCCGCGGGCCCACCUUGCUCACCGUGCGGGUAGCGGAUCUGCAGGUUCUCGUACAGGUCCGGCCCCUCGGUGGCCAUCCCGCAGCUGGCCGAGCCCACAGCCGCUUCCUCCCGGAGCCCUGCGCGUGGCAGCCCCAGCGACCGAAACUGCCAGGAAAGGGAAGGCGGCAGCCGGGGGGGCACGGCGCUGCUUGGGGUGCCACCGCCCAGGCUGGACAGGGAUUCCCCCGUCCCAAAGGGACAGACCUCCACGCAGGGCUUGUGGCCACAUCCCGGCUUGCUGCCCAUGGCCGGCCACCCCACGGGGCCACCCUGCAUGGGGGAUCCCUGUCCCCCACCCCACGGCCAGCCCUGGCCAGUGGUGACCCACGGGUGGCUCCCGUGGGGACACAUCGGGCUCAUGGGGACGGCACGGGGGGACGGCCCCAGCAUGUCCCCAGGGGGAGCAGGGCCACGUCCCCGACGUGCCCAGGGGACACUGCCCAGCUCCAUCACCCCUCGCCCGGCCCGCGCUGCCUCCCGGCCACCCAGCGCCAACCCUGCCCCCAUACCAGCCUUGCCCCUGCCCCAGCCCUGGUUUUGUUCCCGAGCACAUCCCCACCGCAGCCGCGUUCCGCUUUUUGCCCUCAGACGCAGAAUCGCGUCCGGGAACCCCUGGCAAGCAGCGCAGAUGUUACGCCUCGCUUCUCGUUAGCAGCUCUCCCGUGCCCGGCGUGUGGCUCGAGCCCGGCUCCCCGCUGCCCGCAGAAGGGGAAGGCUCAAACGGAGGCGGCGACGCGGGAGAGGAGAGGAGAGGAGCGGAGCUGCUACCGCGGUACUGCUGCCGCACAGCACCCCAGGGACGGUGCUGGGCGCAGCGGGGACGGGGACAGAUGCCCAAGACAGGGUCUCAGGGUCCGUCCCUGGGGGCUGCUCUCCCACCCGGCCUCCCAAGGGACCUCCCUGAGGCUUCCCAACAGGGGAAGGCCGUGGGUGGAGCGGGUGCUGGGGCGGUUUCCUGGGCUCAGCACCCCCGGUGCCCCACACCCAGCACAGCCCUCGCCCGUGCGCCCCCCUGCGUGCCCCACGCCUCGCUCCGGAAGCCUCGGCUGAGUUGUUUUGCAGCUUCUGGGUGGUUUUUUGUUUUUGGUUUCUGUUUGUUUGGGAUUUUUUUUUUGUUUUUGUUUCAGCCCAAACCAUCGUGGUGUUUGACGCAGGCUCUGAAAAUAGCUCCAAAUCUGCAGAAGCAGCACUCCUCUGGCACAGGGAUGAGUUACCAAAAAGGCCGGGACGUGAUUCCCCCACCCACCUGCAGCUCCUUGGCAGGCUCAGCUCCAGUGGCCCUGCUGGGAUGAACUGGGAGCCCUUGCCCCCCCCGGGCCGCCCCCCCAGCUCGUGGGGGUGUUGUGAGGCACGUUGGGGCAAAGGAAGGGUUUGCUGGAGGCUGCCCUGCCCCACGAGGACAGCAUCAGGAAGCAGCCCGGGAGAAACCCCCGACCCCAGCAGUAAGGACACAGAUCCGAGACCACCGAGCCCCAGCACGAGGCAGGAGCGAGCAGGGGCUGUCACAGGGGACUGGAGACGCUGCAGGUUCAGGGCAGGGGGUGGUGGAGAUGUCCCGUCCCCGAGCACGGGGCUGAGGCCUCCCGGGAUGAGGGGUUCUGGUUUCAGCACUUCCAAGGAGCUGCUAAGGGCCAGAAGGGUUUGCUCCUCGUUGCAGCGGGUGCCUUGGACUCGGUGAUCCUUUUGGUCCCUUCCAGCUCGGGAUUUUCUAUGAUCUCGGUGCUCGGCGCUGGUGGGGUCUCGUGGGGAGCUGCUGUGUAGCAGCAGCCACGCGCAGGGAGAGGACGGGGUGGCUGAAAGCCCCAGCACGGGGAGCUUCGUGCCGAGACGCACAAGUGAGGCAGACGGAAAAAAACACCGAAAGAAGCAGCCCCGAAACCAAAGCCAUCGGCCCCGCACUGCAGCUGUGCGUGGAGCCCUCCUGGGCCGCGGUGCAGAGGGAGCCCGCGGGGGCAGCGGGGAGCGGGGCCAGGGCCUGCCGGGCUGCCUGCGAGCAGGGAGCGAGUGUGCUACCCGAAAUGGCAGCAGAAAGCCCGCUAAGUGCAUCUAA